CGCGUGGGAACGUACCCUUUGCUACGGAAUAGUCCCGGGAAACUGGGUUUAAUACCGUAUGUGCCCCCCCAAUCAAAUUUCAUUUGAUUGAUACUUCGAGAGACUUGUCAAAUGCCGAAUGGCAUUUGAUGGGGGGGGAAAGAUUUAUCGGCAAAGGAUCGGCCCGCGUUGGAUUAGGUAGUUGGUGGGGUAAUGGCCUACCAAGCCGACGAUCCAUAGCUGGUUUGAGAGGAUGAUCAGCCACACUGGGACUGAGACACGGCCCAGACUCCUACGGGAGGCAGCAGUGGGGAAUCUUAGACAAUGGGCGCAAGCCUGAUCUAGCCAUGCCGCGUGAGCGAUGAAGGCCUUAGGGUUGUAAAGCUCUUUCAGGGGGGAAGAUAAUGACUGUACCCCCAGAAGAAGCCCCGGCUAACUCCGUGCCAGCAGCCGCGGUAAUACGGAGGGGGCUAGCGUUGUUCGGAAUUACUGGGCGUAAAGCGCACGUAGGCGGAUUGGAAAGUCAGAGGUGAAAUCCCGGGGCUCAACCCCGGAACUGCCUUUGAAACUCCCAGUCUUGAGUUCGAGAGAGGUGAGUGGAAUUCCGAGUGUAGAGGUGAA
Molecule: ribosomal RNA, 600 nt
Filed under: uncultured bacterium
Lineage: Bacteria
Description: bacterial SSU rRNA
Rfam family: Bacterial small subunit ribosomal RNA
Source: RNAcentral